Molecule: long non-coding RNA, 872 nt
Organism: Musa acuminata AAA Group (dessert banana)
Lineage: Eukaryota; Viridiplantae; Streptophyta; Magnoliopsida; Zingiberales; Musaceae
Exons: 2
Source: RefSeq, a predicted model, not a curated record
UCCAUUUAUGGACUAAAGCAAGCUUCCCGAAGUUGGAACAUAAGAUUUGAUGAGGCAAUCAGAUCUUAUGACUUCGUUAAGAACGAGGAUGAGCCUUAUGUGUACAGGAAGGUAAGUGGAAGCGCUAUCACCUUUUUGGUGUUAUAUGUUGUAACACCCCUCAUUUCCGAAUGUUCGUAUAAAUUUUUGGUGAUAAUGUAAGCAUCUAUUUUAAUUGACAAAAGAAAUAGAGUAUGAAUCAGAGGUAACUUAUUGUUAAGAUUUGGGAGAUCUGUUCAAAAAAAAAAAAAAAAAAAAAAAAAAAAGAAAGAAUCUGAGGACCUAUAUGUAAACCCUAAGGACCUAAUCGUGAAUAUGAUAAAAACGAGGACUAAACUGCAAAAUGCACCAAAUGACAAACUCCACCGCUUAAGCCUCUCUGCCUUCGUUGUUAAGGAAGCAGAGGAGGCAGCUCGUGGGUGAUCAGGGAAAGAAAAGAAGAAGAAGAAGAAGAAGAAGAAGAAGGAGAAGAGAAAGAAAAUUUGGGGCUUUUAGGGUUUUUGCUUUAAUCUUGUUACUUCGGGUCAAAAUUUGCAAAGGAUAGCGUAACUCUUGCUUAAAUGUUAAGAAUGGGCUGAGGCAGCUGAAAGUUUAGAAGACGUUGGGCAGAACUUUUGUUAGCAUAUAUGUAGUUGUGUAUAAGCUACCUUGUAUCUAAUGAAAUGUGACUAUGAAUCUAAACCUGUGGAUUUUGUGUAAGUUAAAGGAUCCCUCAUGUAUAGGGUUUUGGUAUGUUAAAUUAAAUUUGUGUAAGGAUAUGAACUUAUGGUAAAUCGAUGAUUGUGGUGACUGCAUAGAUUUUCCCCACUUGUGGAUUUAUAUUGUGGUUUUUA